GUUAAUGGUAGACUAACUCCAACCCAAUGUGAACCAUACCAAACUGUUGCCUCGGCGGGGUCACGCCCCGGGUGCGUCGCAGCCCCGGAACCAGGCGCCCGCCGGAGGGACCAACCAAACUCUUUACUGUAGUCCCCUCGCGGACGUUAUUUCUUACAGCUCUGAGCAAAAAAUUCAAAAUGAAUCAAAACUUUCAACAACGGAUCUCUUGGUUCUGGCAUCGAUGAAGAACGCAGCGAAAUGCGAUAAGUAAUGUGAAUUGCAGAAUUCAGUGAAUCAUCGAAUCUUUGAACGCACAUUGCGCCCGCCAGUAUUCUGGCGGGCAUGCCUGUCCGAGCGUCAUUUCAACCCUCGAACCCCUCCGGGGGGUCGGCGUUGGGGAUCGGGAACCCCUCAGACGGGAUCCCGGCCCCGAAAUACAGUGGCGGUCUCGCCGCAGCCUCUCCUGCGCAGUAGUUUGCACAACUCGCACCGGGAGCGCGGCGCGUCCACGUCCGUAAAACACCCAACUUUCUGAAAUGUUGACCUCGGAUCAGGUAGGAAUACCCGCUGAACUUAAGCAUAUCAAUAAAGGCGGAGGA
This 581-nucleotide ribosomal RNA is filed under the name Trichoderma erinaceum. RNAcentral's name for it is "eukaryotic LSU rRNA". The stretch from base 189 to 342 matches the Rfam family "5.8S ribosomal RNA". Lineage: Eukaryota; Fungi; Ascomycota; Sordariomycetes; Hypocreales; Hypocreaceae. The record is from RNAcentral.